This is a long non-coding RNA of Manduca sexta (tobacco hornworm), 1312 nucleotides long. RefSeq lists it as uncharacterized. The record is from RefSeq and is a predicted model, not a curated record. NCBI's taxonomy places the organism in Eukaryota, Metazoa, Arthropoda, Insecta, Lepidoptera, Sphingidae. The transcript has 2 exons.
GAUAAAAAUAAGUUUAGACUAUAUACGUACAUGUUUAGUUAAAUAUUUUAUUGUAAAUAGAAUGUAAGCAUCAACAACAAAGUUUAUACGGUAAUAUCUAUAAGACUUAUAUUUAUGUUUUUGUGUAUAAUAAAAAAAUUGAGUCUAAUUAUAAUUAACUAAAUAUGCAUUAAAGUACGGAGGUAUACAUGACAAUUGUCAAGAAAUAAAUAAAAAAAUAAUUUCUUUGUAAUAGUAAAAUAAAAAAAAUAAAUUGAACUCUACAUUUCUAAUCCCAUUCUUUCCUUCCUUGCAGGCGAUUACGCGGGAUUCGACGAGAACGAGCCCACAUCCCGGUCGGGUGGUAAGGGGCUGGUGGUGAGGCGGCUGAAGGAGCAGCUCGGGUACCAGCGGCUGGUCAUCAUCGGUGACGGCGCCACCGACGCCGAGGCGAGCCCGCCCGCUGACGGAUUCAUUGGUUUUGGGGCAACGUAGUGCGCGACGAAGUGAAAAGAGAGCUAGCUGGUACGUGACCGACUUUCAAGAGUUGAUAAACUCACUAACCAUACAAGUGGCCAAGUGAAAACACGCCCCGUGUUAGAAAAAAUUACACGUAUUAUGUUGAGAAACGGUUGUCUAUGGACGGGCACACGGCCACAGAUCAUAAAAUCCAUAGACCGCUGCACCAUAGAGCACACGUCAGUUGUUAUUUUACGGCGCGGACUCACUGUGUUUUCGCCACUGACGUUAAAAAUAGCUGUGCUAUAUUUUAUAUAUUUAAUCCGAACUCCAAAAUGUUUUUAUAGAAAUUUGUCCCCGUUUACGUCCAUUGAACAAUGUUUUUAUAUCCUUAAGGAAUGACUAGUAAAUUUUGAUUUUUUUUCCUAACAUGUAUGUAAAUUUAAAUAUAUAUUUAUUCUGUAGAAAUCACAAUCUGUGAUCGUUACUGCCAUAGUUCCCGCGCAGUCUGUAGAGUGCACGUGUAUUUUGGAUUGUGCAUUUAUUGUUGUUAUUUCGAUAUUGUGAUGGUACUUUGAGUACAAAAUUGACGUUCUACAUAAAGUAUUUGCGCGGACUAAGUCUGUGCUUCGUGUUGGUUUUUAUGUUGGUUUUAGUAUAUGUUAUAUAACUUAGGUUAUUAGUUAAUGUAUAAGUUAUAUGUAUGUUAAUAGCUAUAAGGAAUUGUGGUCUAAAAUUUAUUAAUGUUUUAUAAUUUAUUUUGUUCAAUAUUUGGAAUUGUAUGAAAUUUUCAUUAUAAAUGGAAAAAUCCUCACGUCAAAAACGGCUGUGUACUUCUUAUGAAUAAGAAAUAAAUAUAUUUAAUUAAGUUAAA